AUGGACGCAAGUCUGAUGGAGCAACGCCGCGUGAGUGAAGAAGGCUUUCGGGUCGUAAAACUCUGUUGUUGGAGAAGAAUGGUCGGCAGAGUAACUGUUGUCGGCGUGACGGUAUCCAACCAGAAAGCCACGGCUAACUACGUGCCAGCAGCCGCGGUAAUACGUAGGUGGCAAGCGUUAUCCGGAUUUAUUGGGCGUAAAGCGAGCGCAGGCGGUUUUUUAAGUCUGAUGUGAAAGCCCUCGGCUUAACCGAGGAAGUGCAUCGGAAACUGGGAAACUUGAGUGCAGAAGAGGACAGUGGAACUCCAUGUGUAGCGGUGAAAUGCGUAGAUAUAUGGAAGAACACCAGUGGCGAAGGCGGCUGUCUGGUCUGUAACUGACGCUGAGGCUCGAAAGCAUGGGUAGCGAACAGGAUUAGAUACCCUGGUAGUCCAUGCCGUAAACGAUGAAUGCUAGGUGUUGGAGGGUUUCCGCCCUUCAGUGCCGCAGCUAACGCAUUAAGCAUUCCGCCUGGGGAGUACGACCGCAAGGUUGAAACUCAAAGGAAUUGACGGGGGCCCGCACAAGCGGUGGAGCAUGUGGUUUAAUUCGAAGCAACGCGAAGAACCUUACCAUGGUCUUGACAUCUUU
RNAcentral lists this ribosomal RNA (630 nucleotides) under Lacticaseibacillus rhamnosus. RNAcentral describes it as "bacterial SSU rRNA". It matches the Rfam family "Bacterial small subunit ribosomal RNA", at positions 371 to 991 of the family's 1533-position model. Lineage: Bacteria; Bacillati; Bacillota; Bacilli; Lactobacillales; Lactobacillaceae. The record is from RNAcentral.